GACCGCGUAGUUCAGUUGGCAGAGCAUUGGGCUAGUAUUCCAAAGGUCGGCGUAGGUUCGAAUCCCACCGUGGCCA
Paramuricea clavata is the source of this 76-nucleotide non-coding RNA. The record is from the annotation of a GenBank genome assembly. Lineage: Eukaryota; Metazoa; Cnidaria; Anthozoa; Malacalcyonacea; Plexauridae.